RNAcentral lists this ribosomal RNA (227 nucleotides) under uncultured Bacteroides sp. RNAcentral describes it as "partial 16S ribosomal RNA". It matches the Rfam family "Bacterial small subunit ribosomal RNA", at positions 383 to 607 of the family's 1533-position model. Lineage: Bacteria; Pseudomonadati; Bacteroidota; Bacteroidia; Bacteroidales; Bacteroidaceae. The record is from RNAcentral.
CUGAACCAGCCAAGUAGCGUGAAGGAUGUCUGCCCUAUGGGUUGUAAACUUCUUUUAUAAAGGAAUAAAGUCGGGUAUGGAUACCCGUUUGCAUGUACUUUAUGAAUAAGGAUCGGCUAACUCCGUGCCAGCAGCCGCGGUAAUACGGAGGAUCCGAGCGUUAUCCGGAUUUAUUGGGUUUAAAGGGAGCGUAGAUGGAUGUUUAAGUCAGUUGUGAAAGUUUGCGG